CCCAUUACUAUUGCUGGAAUGCAAAGGCUGUGAAUGUAGGACUGGCAGAGCUCCAGAGAAGCAGGUAGCCAGGCUGAGCCAUCUGCACAGAGGCUACGAACAGUAACACCAUGAAAUUUGCAAGAACGUUACCUUGGCAAAAGAAUGCAUUAUUUCUGAGAGGACAUCGGACUCUGGCUCCGUCCCAAUGGCUUUGAUGAGAGCGUCACACAUGAAGUGCCACAUCUGCGUGAGGUACUCCGGCCCACGAACCCUGGCACAUUCAAGAAGGAGGGGCAUCGACUCUGCGGCUGCCACUCGGACACGUGCCAUUAUUAAGGAAAGACAGCAACCAACACCAACAAAGUGCUUAGAAUUUAAGACCUCAACACCAUAACGAAGUUCUUAGUUUUUUACCCAAAAUUCAUUUAAUUAUAAUCCAUGCAUUUGAUUUGUUAAUUAUAUAUAGAUUAAAUCAUAGGAAGUGUUUUCAAGUCUGUUUCAGGCCAUGACAGAAAAGCUCUGUUCAAGCUCUCUUCUGCUUUAUUACAGAAACAUUGCUUUUUCUACUGAUUGCUUAUUUAAAAAGGAACUAGGGGGAAAAGUAGGAAUACAUUGCCUAAAAUAGGGUGUGUAAACCAACAUUCUCUGAAACCAUUUCUGCUAUAAAGUCACAGACUAUUUUAACACUAACACUUUCAUUUAGGAAAAUAGCAAGCUCAAUUUUGAUUCCAAGUUUCUGUUUUCACAGUGGAAUUUGUUAAUAGGAUAUCAUCAUGGAAAUAGAACUUCAACAAUGGAACCAUCAACUUUACAACUUGCUCUGUGUAUUCCACAAAUCCUUCUUUUAGCUCUUUUGCAUAGCAAACCUGAAAAACAGAGCACAGAUAUGCGACUUUUAAGGGAUAAUACUUAUAUUUUUCAACUAUGUAAAGGUGAGAGGGAGAUUGUUAGAAGUGUAAGGGUUUUUUUAAGUUUAUUUUAAAAAACAUGUAAUAAUCCAUUUCCCUUCCCCCUCAACUGUGGCAAUUUGAGAAACCCUGAUAGCAGCAUAAGUUCUCACUCUUAGGGCAUGCAUGUAUAUUUCAAACCAAAUUCCAAAACAGCAAUAUUUGCAAAAAGGAACUACUUUUUAACAUAUUAAAUUCCUUAAGUUUUGCUAACAAAGAAAAACAAUCCGUUAAUUUAAAAAAAUGUACACUCCUAAGUAAAUAAACUGUUUUUAAUCAAGUAAA
This is a non-coding RNA of Lonchura striata (white-rumped munia), 1214 nucleotides long. The record is from RefSeq and is a predicted model, not a curated record. Lineage: Eukaryota; Metazoa; Chordata; Aves; Passeriformes; Estrildidae.